UCUAUGCAGACGACUUGCAGCUAUAUCGC
This 29-nucleotide small RNA is filed under the name Bombyx mori (domestic silkworm). RNAcentral describes it as "ovarian small RNA-29530". Lineage: Eukaryota; Metazoa; Arthropoda; Insecta; Lepidoptera; Bombycidae. The record is from RNAcentral.